CCUACGGGGGGCUGCAGUAAGGAAUAUUGGUCAAUGGACGCAAGUCUGAACCAGCCAUGCCGCGUGGAGGAUGAAGGUCCUCUGGAUUGUAAACUUCUUUUAUUUGGGACGAAACACUCCUAUUCUUAGGGGCCUGACGGUACCAGAUGAAUAAGCACCGGCUAACUCCGUGCCAGCAGCCGCGGUAAUACGUAGGGUGCAAGCGUUAUCCGGAUUCAAUGGGGUGUAGGUGGGCGUAGAUGUCUGUGUAGAAAUCCCCGAGCUUAACUUGGGAACUGCCGUUGAUACUAUACAUCUUGAAUAUCGUAGAGGUAAGCGGAAUAUGUCAUGUAGCGGUGAAAUGCUUAGAGAUGACAUAGAACACCAAUUGCGAAGGCAGCUUGCUAUGCGAUUAUUGACACUGAGGCACGAAAGCGUGGGGAGCAAACAGGAUUAGAUACCCCAGUAGUC
This 450-nucleotide ribosomal RNA is filed under the name uncultured bacterium. RNAcentral's name for it is "partial 16S ribosomal RNA". It matches the Rfam family "Bacterial small subunit ribosomal RNA", at positions 338 to 795 of the family's 1533-position model. The record is from RNAcentral.